Rosa chinensis is the source of this 1038-nucleotide long non-coding RNA. RefSeq lists it as uncharacterized. NCBI's taxonomy places the organism in Eukaryota, Viridiplantae, Streptophyta, Magnoliopsida, Rosales, Rosaceae. The record is from RefSeq and is a predicted model, not a curated record. The transcript has 3 exons.
CCUUCUCACCAUAACCUCCCAUCCUACCACAACACCUCUCGCCAUAACCUCCUUGAACACCUCUCUCUCUCUCUCUCUCUCUCUCUCUCUCUCUCUCUCUCUCUCUCUCUCAACCAAAGGCCGGCCAAAGAAUUUUGCAAUAUAUCUUGUUGUCGUCGAUAUGCUUAUGUAGAUAUACGAGUUCUCGGCUAAGCGCUUCUUCGAUUCGAUGAAGGACGAGAACCUCCUGUUUUGUUGUUAAUUUCUUCAAAUCAUAUGCUUUUUACUAUCUUAGAACCUAUACUUCUUUUUAUUACAGUGAUAUUUCUCAGAUUUGUCUUUCUUAAUCACAUUUUUCAGAUUAGGUAUUCUCCUUUGAAUUCGGUAUGUGGAAUAUUAAGGUUGAAUUAAUUAUGGUUUCUGCUAUCAAUUGUAGGAAAAUGGUUAGUGUUUGGAUGCUAGCUCUCUUUGUAUAUGUGAUAUAUAUUUGAUGGAACAUUAGGUUCACUGUGGUGGGCUAGCUUUUCAACAUUGAGGAAGAUUCAGAUACCAAAGUGGUUGGUUGGAUAAGACGAUGUUGAUUAAAGGAUUUGGUUUUUGAGAAUUUGGGAAUUGUCUAACUUUUGUUUUUUGGGUUGUCAUUGUACAAGUAUCCAUUUUUGCCACCAAGCAUGACCUUUGCUGUUUGGAUUUACACCUGAAUAUAUCGUCUGCAAAGGUGGAAAUCACAUUCUCAAUAUUCUUUUAAAGAUAGAAGAAUAUGUUGAAGUUGCAAUCUUCUGUAAAUAAUUUCAGACCAGAUUUGUUAAGGGUUGAUGUCAGUGGCAAUUGGUUGGAUUUCAGAUGAUGAAGUUUAAUUUGCUGAGAAGAUAUGCAAGUUUGUGAGGGAUCUGCAAUAUGAUUUGGACACCCAAGUUUUCAAUUUUGGUUUGGUCAAUAUGUUUAUUUGAUGUUGUCCAUAGUAUAUGUUCUUGUAUCUUUCAAAAAAGCAAAAUAAUAUAUACUCUUGUAACUUCAGUACUUGGUUAUGUUAUAAUUUUUUUCCCUCCUAGGAGGUAA